This 362-nucleotide ribosomal RNA is filed under the name uncultured bacterium. RNAcentral describes it as "bacterial SSU rRNA". It matches the Rfam family "Bacterial small subunit ribosomal RNA", at positions 32 to 392 of the family's 1533-position model. The record is from RNAcentral.
AAUCAACGCUGGCGGCGUGCCUCAGACAUGCAAGUCGAACGAUUAAAGCUCUCUUCGGAGAGUGUAUAGAGUGGCGCACGGGUGAGUAACACGUAAGUAAUCUACCUUCGAGUGGGAAUAACGUCCGGAACGGACGCUAAUACCGCAUAAUGCAGCGGCAUCGCAAGAUGACAGUUGUUAAAGAUUUAUCGCUUGAAGAGGAGCUUGCGGCAGAUAGCUAGUUGGUAAGGUAAUGCUUACCAAGGCUGCGAUCAGUAGCUGGUCUGAGAGGACGGCCAGCCACAAUGGCACUGAACACGGCCAUACUCCUACGGGAGGCAGCAGUGGGGAAUUUUGCGCAAUGGGCGAAAGCCUGACGCAGC